This is a long non-coding RNA of Acyrthosiphon pisum (pea aphid), 580 nucleotides long. RefSeq lists it as uncharacterized. The transcript is spliced from 3 exons. Lineage: Eukaryota; Metazoa; Arthropoda; Insecta; Hemiptera; Aphididae. The record is from RefSeq and is a predicted model, not a curated record.
AUGUUGUUUUAUUAUAUACUCAUUUAAAACAAUAUGUGUUAUAAUAAGCCUAUGUCACAGUAUAUUAUAUAUUAUACUAUUUGGUAUAUUUGUACCUAAACGAAAUACCGAAUGAAUAUGGAAUCAUAUUCUUAUUAGUUAUUAUUGUCUAUAACUAUCAUUUUAUUAAUUAUGGUAUUGAUUUCCCAUAAUUUUUUGUAAACGUGAAUUUUGUAAACCGUUUAUAAUUGAUGUAUAUUUUUUUACUGUGUCUAGUGAACCUAUGUAAAUAUAAAAUGUAUAACAAAUAAAGAAACAAUGAAUACUUAAUUGAAUUUAAUUCAUAUUAUUUCAGUUCCAUUAUGCACUUACGUAGUAAACUUUAAAGAAAAUGAAGAUGAUCCUCUAAACCCAGAUUUUUUUUGCAUUGCACACAGCAAUACAGUCAAUGAGAUUAUUAAAUAAAUCAUGGUAGGUAAACAAUAUAUUACAUUUUUACAAAAUAUUAAACGAAAAGUUGAUAAAUGUUUAGCUUGUGUUCAAUUGUAUUUUAUUUUAGUUUAAUUUUACUUACAUUAAGAUGACGUCGCACCCGCAUGUG